AAGUUUUUCUAUCAUUUGUUAUUAUUAGUGUGAUAUUUUAGCAUGCAAAUAGAGAGGAAAACAUCUAAUUAUCAGGAAAAAAAAAUCGGCAGCAUAUAUCGGCCAUCGGCUGACCCAUAUCGGUCGACCUCUAGUAAGCAUUGUAGGAAAAUGCCGUGUACAACGGCUAACGCUACUACUAUGCAAAGCCUUUUCCAGCAUCAUCAUCCCAGCAGGCAUCCAAUAUUGUCACAACGUUGAAUAACAGUUGAAAUUACGCUGAAUUAUGUAAUUAUGAUGCUGAGAUUAUCAGAAAUAUCUGCUGUGAGCAAGCAGGGACAGCAUUGCCACUAUGUUGAUUUCGCGUCGAAAUAUAAGAAUAUACUAUUUUAAAAGUUGAAAAAAAUCGUUAUGGUAACAACCUGCAAACAUUUAUUAAUAUUUUAGAGAUAUAUAUUUUCUUAAAUGCUGUAAUCUCUUGGUUUGGACUGAACGCCAAAGCGCGUUCGCGCAUGCGCACUUCUUGCAUUCUCCAGCUGUCUCUCGCUAAAAGCCGUUAAAGAGGUGGAUGGUAGCUGCAGGCAAUCAUCAAGAUCAGGAGAGCAGGUGCUCUGGAUGUCAUCCCCUUUCUUCUGUUCUUCAAACACAAUGACCUGCAGUUCACGAACAGGAACAGAAGUAAAUGCAGCAGCUGAAUACCGCUGUAGCAGAAAUGCACCGAAAACAUCACAACAAUGCAUUUUAAUGCAGCAAGUGAACAGGACUCAGAAUCCAGCAUGCAUGCUGCAGGAUGUGUACAACUAUGCUAGCACAUUAAAGCAAAAAAAUGUAUGGACAUGCCUCAUUUUGUCCAGUUUUGAGCCAGGGUCCUGGGAGAUAAAGGGUUUGCUGCGGCCCAAUGGACCAGUACCGCCCAAGAUUCUGUCCAUUCACAAAGACGACGCCUUUACUCCAGCC
Brienomyrus brachyistius is the source of this 936-nucleotide long non-coding RNA. RefSeq lists it as uncharacterized. Lineage: Eukaryota; Metazoa; Chordata; Actinopteri; Osteoglossiformes; Mormyridae. The record is from RefSeq and is a predicted model, not a curated record. The transcript is spliced from 3 exons.